AUGAAAUGUCAAGAGGGGUUGUUGCUGGCCUUGCGGGGCAUGUGCACACCUUGAUUGCUCAUCCUCUCACACCUGUGCACUACCUGUAGCUUGGGAUGAUUACGAAGUCGGAAACGGCGUCGAAAGCCCUCGCUAUGAAUUUUUUUAUACACACACACAAAGUUAUAGAAUGUACAAAGUUAUAGCGUGUAACAGCGCGAAUAAAUA
This 207-nucleotide unclassified non-coding RNA is filed under the name uncultured Pseudotomentella. RNAcentral's name for it is "sequence contains ITS1". Lineage: Eukaryota; Fungi; Basidiomycota; Agaricomycetes; Thelephorales; Thelephoraceae. The record is from RNAcentral.